CAUAUCAGCCGAGCAGAUACUUUAGUUUCUAGGUCCGGGAUGGAGAUUUGAUCUUCCAUACGGAUGUCAUACAGGGAUCUAACUUUGGAAAGUAGCUUGGAGUCAUUAAAUCUAAAAUGAAGUCCAUGAAGAUCGACGAUGUGUGGACAUUCAUUGAUUCACCUAAAGGGGUAAAACCCAUAGAGUGUGAGUGGACUUU
Molecule: long non-coding RNA, 199 nt
Filed under: Elaeis guineensis (African oil palm)
Lineage: Eukaryota; Viridiplantae; Streptophyta; Magnoliopsida; Arecales; Arecaceae
Description: long non-coding RNA (EGUI_LNC076244)
Source: RNAcentral